AGAGAGAGACAUGCGCGCAUAUCAAUAAGCGGAGGAAAAGAAACUAACAAGGAUUCCCCUAGUAACGGCGAGUGAAGCGGGAAGAGCUCAAAUUUGAAAUCUUAAAGGGUUUCCCUUUACGAAUUGUAGUUUAAAGAAGUGUUUUCUGUUGAGGUUUUGGUAAAAGUUCUUUGGAAUAGGACAUCAUAGAGGGUGAGAAUCCCGUAUUUGACCUUUACUUUCAACUUUGUGAUACACUUUCAAAGAGUCGGAUUGUUUGGGAAUGCAGUCCAAAAUGGGUGGUAAAUUUCAUCUAAAGCUAAAUAUUGGCGAGAGACCGAUAGCGAACAAGUACCGUGAGGGAAAGAUGAAAAGAACUUUGAAAAGAGAGUUAAACAGUACGUGAAAUUGUCAAAAGGGAAGCGUUUGACACCAGUGUUGUUUUUCUGAAAAUCAAUUAAAGAACUGUUUAUGCUAAGUUGUUUAGACUUUAUCAGCUAACUGUUUAGUUUUGAGCUUUUCUUUAAUGCACUUUUCAGUUAACAAGUCAACAUCAAUUUCUUUUGCUGUAAAAAAGCUUGAGGAAGGUGGCUUGAGAUUCGUCUUAAGUGUUUAUAGCCUCUUGCCUAUGCAGUCGGAGAGAUUGAGGUCUGCAGCGUAGAUCCUUCGGGGCUAAAUGCAUUUGUGCUAAGUUAUAGCAUUUUAUAGACAACUUGUUGACUAUGAUUUGUCUUGUAGCUUACUCGCUUAUGCUAUUUUACCUACGCUUAGGAUGUUGAGCGCAUGUCUCUCUC
RNAcentral lists this ribosomal RNA (773 nucleotides) under uncultured Neocallimastigales. Its description in RNAcentral is "partial large subunit ribosomal RNA". It matches the Rfam family "Eukaryotic large subunit ribosomal RNA", at positions 23 to 617 of the family's 3401-position model. The record is from RNAcentral. Lineage: Eukaryota; Fungi; Neocallimastigomycota; Neocallimastigomycetes; Neocallimastigales.